RNAcentral lists this ribosomal RNA (253 nucleotides) under uncultured bacterium. Its description in RNAcentral is "partial 16S ribosomal RNA". It matches the Rfam family "Bacterial small subunit ribosomal RNA", at positions 524 to 776 of the family's 1533-position model. The record is from RNAcentral.
UACGUAGGUGGCAAGCGUUGUCCGGAAUUAUUGGGCGUAAAGCGCGCGCAGGCGGCCUCUUAAGUCUGAUGUGAAAGCCCCCGGCUCAACCCGGGGAGGGCCAUUGGAAACUGGGAGGCUUGAGUAUAGGAGAGAAGAGUGGAAUUCCACGUGUAGCGUGAAAUGCGUAGAGAUGUGGAGGAACACCAGUGGCGAAGGCGACUCUUUGGCCUAUAACUGACGCUGAGGCGCGAAAGCGUGGGGAGCAAACAGG